Molecule: long non-coding RNA, 773 nt
Organism: Gallus gallus (chicken)
Lineage: Eukaryota; Metazoa; Chordata; Aves; Galliformes; Phasianidae
Source: Ensembl
GGCUGCAUUAAUGCCACACAAAUGUGCCGUAGCGCACAUAGAAGUACAAAAGGAAUGCCGAGCACGCGGUGACUUUGGCACGGGAUGGGGCUGUGGUACAGUGAGUCAGAAAAGCUCGUUAGGAGCUUUGAAAAACCAGGAGGGCCCCAGGAGUGCAGGAUGUUCCUUUGGGCACAGCUGUGCGACGGCAAGGCUUGCAGAAUGCAGCACCGGGCUGCGGGACGCUCGCGUUCAGCAGGGAGCGGCAGGCACUGUGCUUCUCACAUGCAGGCUCUGGGUUGUCAUGGAUCCAGCUCUGCCUGCUGGUGGCUGACAGGCUCAGCGCCCGCAUCCUGCCCCAGCUCCGGAUCUGCUCCACGCGGGUCGCGCGGCGUCAGGAGGGAGCUGUGUGUGGCAGGGAACAUCGGACCGCCUCAUCGGGUCUCCUCCAGGUGUUCCUUUUGGGGGUGCCGUGGGGGAUGUGGAGACUGAUCCCGGGAAACGCUCCCCUCACAGGAUGCCCAGGCCUGUGUAAGUGAGAAGUCCAUCAGCCAGGGAGGGGUCCAUGGCUGACAUUCCACCACUGGGUGCAGGAUGCUGCAUGGCAUCAAGAACAACGUCACCAACAUGCUCGAUGUGGACUGCAACGGCCCGAGCCCUUGCUUGCCUGGCGAGACCUUUGUGCUGCGGCCACUGCUGCCCUAACGCUUGCGGUUCACCACCCGUACUGCCUGCAGCUUGGCCGACUGCGUAUCCCGCUGAGCUCACUGCUCUUUGGAGGUGGAAAAAAACAG